Molecule: ribosomal RNA, 312 nt
Filed under: Triticum aestivum (bread wheat)
Lineage: Eukaryota; Viridiplantae; Streptophyta; Magnoliopsida; Poales; Poaceae
Description: partial small subunit ribosomal RNA
Source: RNAcentral
AUGGAUGGAACAGUGCAGACUCCAAGCGGCACCGUGCCACGUGUUGCUGCCCACCCUAGCGUGAACGGCAACGGCGCUGCCAGGCACUUGCAUGAUGAAUGGCUGGAAGAGUAUGAAGCUGGCGUUUUCAUGAAGCUGAAGGACCUCGGUGAUGGCACUCGUGAGCUGAUGAGGGUUCGGUUCAGCAAAACGCGCUUUGGGGAGCAUCAGGCUGAGAAUUGGUGGAAAGAGAAUCGCGAGAAGGUUUAUGAGCGAUACAACGUGAGGACCUCCCAACGAGCGUCGUCAGCAGCCUCGACCCACUCGGCCUAA